RNAcentral lists this ribosomal RNA (215 nucleotides) under Clostridioides difficile. Its description in RNAcentral is "partial 23S ribosomal RNA". It matches the Rfam family "Bacterial large subunit ribosomal RNA", at positions 1236 to 1451 of the family's 2925-position model. The record is from RNAcentral. Lineage: Bacteria; Bacillati; Bacillota; Clostridia; Peptostreptococcales; Peptostreptococcaceae.
GCUUCCCAUACGGGUUGAAGCAUGACCGUAAGGACAUGUGGACAGUAUGGGAGUGAGAAUGUUGGCAUGAGUAGCGAGAUGUGGGUGGGAAUCCCACAGGCCGUAAACCCAAGGUUUCCAGGGGAAGGUUCGUCCGCCCUGGGUUAGUCGGGACCUAAGCUGAGGCCGAAAGGCGUAGGUGAUGGACAACAGGUUGAUAUUCCUGUACUACCGAU